UACGAGUGCCUCAAGCGUUAUCCGGAAUCAUUGGGCGUAAAGGAUGUGUAGGUGGUCUUGUUAGUCUCUUGUUAAAUUCUUCGGCUCAACCGGGGGCAUGCAAGGGAAACGGCAAGACUCGAGGAUGCAAGGGGUUACUGGAACUCUAGGUGUAGCGGUGAAAUGCGUUGAUAUCUAGGGGAACACCAAAAGCGAAGGCAGCAGACUGGUCCACUCCUGACGCUGAAACACGAAAGCGUGGGUCGCGAAUGGGAUUAGAUACCCUGGUAGU
Molecule: ribosomal RNA, 271 nt
Filed under: uncultured bacterium
Lineage: Bacteria
Description: partial 16S ribosomal RNA
Rfam family: Bacterial small subunit ribosomal RNA
Source: RNAcentral